AGUGAACGCUGGCGGUAGGCCUAACACAUGCAAGUCGAACGGCAGCACAGUAAGAGCUUGCUCUUACGGGUGGCGAGUGGCGGACGGGUGAGGAAUACAUCGGAAUCUACUUUUUCGUGGGGGAUAACGUAGGGAAACUUACGCUAAUACCGCAUACGACCUACGGGUGAAAGCAGGGGAUCUUCGGACCUUGCGCGAUUGAAUGAGCCGAUGUCGGAUUAGCUAGUUGGCGGGGUAAAGGCCCACCAAGGCGACGAUCCGUAGCUGGUCUGAGAGGAUGAUCAGCCACACUGGAACUGCGACACGGUCCAGACUCCUACGGGAGGCAGCAGUGGGGAAUAUUGGACAAUGGGCGCAAGCCUGAUCCAGCCAUACCGCGUGGGUGAAGAAGGCCUUCGGGUUGUAAAGCCCUUUUGUUGGGAAAGAAAAGCAGCAGGUUAAUACCCCGCUGUUCUGACGGUACCCAAAGAAUAAGCACCGGCUAACUUCGUGC
RNAcentral lists this ribosomal RNA (493 nucleotides) under uncultured bacterium. Its description in RNAcentral is "partial 16S ribosomal RNA". It matches the Rfam family "Bacterial small subunit ribosomal RNA", at positions 29 to 508 of the family's 1533-position model. The record is from RNAcentral.